This 462-nucleotide ribosomal RNA is filed under the name uncultured bacterium. Its description in RNAcentral is "partial 16S ribosomal RNA". It matches the Rfam family "Bacterial small subunit ribosomal RNA", at positions 28 to 507 of the family's 1533-position model. The record is from RNAcentral.
GAUAAACGCUGGCGGCGUGCUUAACACAUGCAAGUCGAACGAAGUUUUUCUUUCGGGAGGAACUUAGUGGCGGACGGGGGAGUAACGCGUGGGUAACCUGCCCUGUACAGGGGGACAACAGCUGGAAACGGCUGCUAAUACCGCAUAAGCCCUUAGCACUGCAUGGUGCAUAGGGAAAAGGAGCAAUCCGGUACAGGAUGGACCCGCGUCUGAUUAGCCAGUUGGCAGGGUAACGGCCUACCAAAGCGACGAUCAGUAGCCGAUCUGAGAGGAUGUACGGCCACAUUGGGACUGAGACACGGCCCAGACUCCUACGGAAGGCAGCAGUGGGGAAUAUUGCACAAUGGAGGAAACUCUGAUGCAGCGACGCCGCGUGAGUGAAGAAGUAUUUCGGUAUGUAAAGCUCUAUCAGCAGGAAAGAAAAUGACGGUACCUGACUAAGAAGCACCGGCUAAAUACGUG